Long non-coding RNA from Papaver somniferum (opium poppy), 593 nucleotides. RefSeq lists it as uncharacterized. The record is from RefSeq and is a predicted model, not a curated record. The transcript is spliced from 2 exons. Lineage: Eukaryota; Viridiplantae; Streptophyta; Magnoliopsida; Ranunculales; Papaveraceae.
GUCAAUUUUAGGCUUAAGCCAGUCCAAAAGAAGAUCAAGCCCUCCCCAUACUCAAUGUCCAGUUCCGCCACUGGUCUCCAUCGCCAUCAUCACCAUCUCAAUGAGUUAUGUCACAUAUCUCUCUUCUCUUUCUCUCCGGCAAUCACCACCACCACCAACAACACCUCCAUCGAUCCCACCUCAAAUUCCACCACCACCUCAAAAUCCACAAUUCCAUCACCAGAUCCAUCAACAAUUCUCUCUUUCUGUCACAUAUUUGUGAAUCAUAUCCCGUAAUCCGAAUAAAAAUCACCAGAAGCAGCCGUCUAUCUUCUUCUUCUUAGUUGAAGAUUCAGGAACAAAGCUUCGGGAUGAAACUCAAUCUAUAUUUUGCACAGAAGCAAGUGUAUAAGGUUACUUUUCGGAAGUAUUGCAAGGCAUUGCGAUGCUUGGAUAUUUGCUCGGAGAAGCACUACUUCAAUGAAGGCUAGUUUUCUUACUUCUCGGUUGCGAGUGCUGUUUCGUCCUUCAAUACAUUUCAUUUUUAUCCUCGGUUGCUAUAAAAGUAAUUUAACUUUUUAUGCAUCAACAUUACUUACUCUUCUUUACACUAA